GCCGGCGUAGCUCAGUUGGUAGAGCAACUGAUUCGUAAUCAGUAGGUCCCCCGUUCGAGUCGGGGCGUCGGCACCA
This 76-nucleotide transfer RNA is filed under the name Gammaproteobacteria bacterium. RNAcentral describes it as "tRNA-Thr". It matches the Rfam family "tRNA". Rfam says of the family: Transfer RNA (tRNA) molecules are approximately 80 nucleotides in length. The record is from RNAcentral. Lineage: Bacteria; Pseudomonadati; Pseudomonadota; Gammaproteobacteria.